Molecule: long non-coding RNA, 1719 nt
Organism: Folsomia candida
Lineage: Eukaryota; Metazoa; Arthropoda; Collembola; Entomobryomorpha; Isotomidae
Exons: 9
Source: RefSeq, a predicted model, not a curated record
GGCGGCAGUUGAGCAGCAGUUUUGUGCCGGUGUGGAUUUUAACAAAAUUUUUGUUUAGUUUGCUAAAUAAAUAUCGUUGAACUCGUUAAUUUAGAAUUAUUUUCAAAUUUCAAAGUUUAUUGUGCAUCAAUCACAUUGUGCAAUAAUGCCUCCCCACUCGCUGAACCUUGACAUGAAGACGGUAAAAAAGCAGGUCGUUCGGAAGUACACAAUUGCAGACUGCAAUUUGCAGUCGACGAGGUUUAGCAAAAACUGUGAAAUGGAUGUCCGAGCUCAAUUUUGCCUUAAACCAUGUAAAAGUUGAUAUUCAGAACUUAUCGGAUUAUUCUGCACUAUCGUUUGAGUAAAGAGAAUUAUACGAUACUUAUCUCCUUUGCAAGACCUAUUUCGAUAAUGGAGAAUAUUUGAGGUGUGCAUUUGUCGCUGAACCAUUUUCCAAGUUGUGUCCAAUUCUGCGAUUUUUGCGUUUUUAUUCUCUGUUUUUGGAUUGUGAAAAGAAACGGUUGGAAAGCAUGAGUGAACUUACAGCUGUUCUGUCGGAUCCAAAACAAUGGGACAAUCGAGAGAAUUGACAAACAAAAUACUAGCUUCGUAUGAUGAGAAUAUUGAUCCACAAGAUUACGACCCCUAUGAUUUAUACCUCCUGGGAAUGAUUAACCGACGACUUGAAGACACUGAUGUAUCAACAGAUUAUCUGAUGGCGUCUAUAUCUUCGAAUAACUAUAUUUGGGGGCAUGGGUGGAGUUGGCCUUUCUAAUUAUGGAUAGGAAGCGGUUAGGUUAUUGGAGCAAACACUACCCAAUUGUUGGAUGAAGUACUUCUUUGUCGGCCACAUCUCUUCAAAGCUUCACAUGAACGAGAAAGCACUUCGGACUUAUUUUGCACUUCAAAAGUCUGGGUUUCAUAACAGCGUGUAUAUUAAAACAUUGCUAUUGCGUAUCAUAAUGUACAACGUGUUGAUGAGAGGCGAUUGAUAUUCGAUUUAGAGGACAGAUUGGAUGAAAUGGAUCUUUAUUCGAAUAUGCUGUAUGUAAAACUAGAAAAAUACUUCCUGCUAGUUUAGCAAACAAGUCUGUUGAAAUCGAUAAAUAUAGGGUGGAAACAUGUUGCAUCAUAGUUCAACCAUUUAAACAGGUAACUUGCACAGUCUAAAGAGAGAACAUCCCAAAGCAAUAGAGUAUUUUGAAAGAGCUCUAAUUCACCCCUACUACUUAUCGGCUUGGACUCUUAUGUGUCGUGAGUUUAUGGAGUUAAAGAAUUCCAAUGCCGCGAUCCAAUGUUAUAGAGAAGCUGGUGAAGUGAACAAGCACGAUUAUCGACCUUGGAAUGGACUUGGACAGACCUACGACAUAUUAAACAUGUCUGGUUACAUAAGCAAGCGCAUCGUAUGCGACCGAAUGAUAGUAGAUUACUAAUUGCUCUUGGUGAAGCUUACGAGAAACUGGACAGGCCUCGAUGUGCUGGUAAAUGUUACGAGAGAGCAAGACAAUUGGGUGAUGAUGAAGGAUUGGCCAUUCUAAAUUUGGCAAAAAUGCUGAAUGGCACUGAUCCAGAGAAAGCAUGCAGAGCAUAUUUGGAGUAUUUAAAUGAAAAGGAUGCGCAGAAUGUGGCAGAUCGAGAUGAACAAGGAAAACCCCACAUUUUAUUGUCCAAUUACUACUUUACAAAGAAGGACUUCGAAAGUUCUCAUAAGCAUGCACUCAAAUGCUUAGAAUUCCC